UACGGAGGGUGCGAGCGUUGUCCGGAAUCACUGGGCGUAAAGGGCGCGUAGGCGGCCUGAUAAGUAGGGGGUGAAAUCCUGCGGCUUAACCGCAGGGCUGCCUUCUAAACUGUCAGGCUCGAGCACAGUAGAGGCAGGUGGAAUUCCAGGUGUAGCGGUGAAAUGCGUAGAUAUCUGGAGGAACACCGGUGGCGAAGGCGGCAUCCUGGACCGGCAUUGACGCUGAGGAGCGAAAGCCAGGGGAGCAAACGGG
Molecule: ribosomal RNA, 253 nt
Filed under: uncultured bacterium
Lineage: Bacteria
Description: partial 16S ribosomal RNA
Rfam family: Bacterial small subunit ribosomal RNA
Source: RNAcentral